This 250-nucleotide ribosomal RNA is filed under the name uncultured bacterium. Its description in RNAcentral is "partial 16S ribosomal RNA". It matches the Rfam family "Bacterial small subunit ribosomal RNA", at positions 57 to 305 of the family's 1533-position model. The record is from RNAcentral.
GCAAGUCGAGCGGAAACGAUGGGAGCUUGCUCCCAGGCGUCGAGCGGCGGACGGGUGAGUAACGCGUGGGAAUCUAUCCAGUAGCGGGGGAUAGCCCGGGGAAACUCGGAUUAAUACCGCAUACGCCCUACGGGGGAAAGCAGGGGAUCUUCGGACCUUGCACUAUUGGGAGAGCCCGCGUCGGAUUAGCUAGUUGGUGGGGUAAAGGCCUACCAAGGCGACGAUCCGUAACUGGUCUGAGAGGAUGAUC